RNAcentral lists this long non-coding RNA (569 nucleotides) under Lathyrus oleraceus (garden pea). RNAcentral's name for it is "Pisum sativum (pea) long non-coding RNA (PSAT_LNC033539)". Lineage: Eukaryota; Viridiplantae; Streptophyta; Magnoliopsida; Fabales; Fabaceae. The record is from RNAcentral.
AAUAGUCCUACAUCGACUAUAUCAUGUAAUUAGUUAUAAUAUCUCUUUAUAUAAUAAAGUCUCCAUAAUACUUUUCAAAACACACGGUUUAUUCAAAUGUCUCAUAGUCUCUUGUAUUUCAACAAUUAUCAUCACUAGAGAAAACUAUAGAUUUGAAAUAGAUUGCUUAGUCUGAUUUCAAAUUUUUAUUAUAUUCAUGUAAUAUUAUCCUGAACUCCUCAGCUACUCGUUUGAUGCAGAUCGCGCGUGAACGGGAACAAUAAAUUGAGAUGGAACUAUGGUGAUUUGGUCCUCAUGAAGGUUUCACUUAUGUUAACUCUCAAAGACCUACAAGGAGGAAAGUUAUCCCUUGAAAAAACAUAAAGUAGAAAUAACCAUUUCGUAAGUGAUAUAAGCACAUGUGUAUGUUUUUUUGGUAAAAAGUUUUAUUUCUAUGUAUUCAAUUUUAAUCAAAUGUUUGGAUUCUGUAUGUUAUUUCCUUAUUUGUCUUGGAUAACUAAGACUUAUAUGACGUAUGAGCCCUUUCGUAGAUUUUAAUUAGAAGUAAGUAUGCAAUUUAUUUUUAUUAA